UCAUAUAAACCUCAUCUGAUAACUCUCC
RNAcentral lists this small RNA (28 nucleotides) under Bombyx mori (domestic silkworm). RNAcentral's name for it is "ovarian small RNA-25957". The record is from RNAcentral. Lineage: Eukaryota; Metazoa; Arthropoda; Insecta; Lepidoptera; Bombycidae.